AUUGAACGCUGGCGGCAGGCCUAACACAUGCAAGUCGAGCGGAUGAAGGGAGCUUGCUCCUGGAUUCAGCGGCGGACGGGUGAGUAAUGCCUAGGAAUCUGCCUGGUAGUGGGGGAUAACGUCCGGAAACGGGCGCUAAUACCGCAUACGUCCUGAGGGAGAAAGUGGGGGAUCUUCGGACCUCACGCUAUCAGAUGAGCCUAGGUCGGAUUAGCUAGUUGGUGGGGUAAAGGCCUACCAAGGCGACGAUCCGUAACUGGUCUGAGAGGAUGAUCAGUCACACUGGAACUGAGACACGGUCCAGACUCCUACGGGAGGCAGCAGUGGGGAAUAUUGGACAAUGGGCGAAAGCCUGAUCCAACCAUGCCGCGUGUGUGAAGAAGGUCUUCGGAUUGUAAAGCACUUUAAGUUGGGAGGAAGGGCAGUAAGUUAAUACCUUGCUGUUUUGACGUUACCAACAGAAUAAGCACCGGCUAACUUCGCG
RNAcentral lists this ribosomal RNA (484 nucleotides) under uncultured bacterium. Its description in RNAcentral is "partial 16S ribosomal RNA". It matches the Rfam family "Bacterial small subunit ribosomal RNA", at positions 30 to 507 of the family's 1533-position model. The record is from RNAcentral.